RNAcentral lists this long non-coding RNA (764 nucleotides) under Dromaius novaehollandiae (emu). RNAcentral describes it as "lncRNA (ENSDNVG00000018609.1)". Lineage: Eukaryota; Metazoa; Chordata; Aves; Casuariiformes; Dromaiidae. The record is from RNAcentral.
AGGUGAUAUUAAGGCUGUAGGAAUUCUGCUGAACAGUAUCUCCAGGGAAAAUACAAAGCAGCCAACUAAGUGUCAUUGGUUUGUCAAGAUGCCUUACUGCAAUAAAAGAUCAAUAUGAAGCAGCAGCAAAUGGGGACUUUACUGUAGAAGACUGGAUUCAGAAGAAGAGUUACUAAGGAACUGGAGCUAACACUCUCACCGACUUCCCUGGGAAUCAUCUCCUCCCCCCAGGGUUCUGUGUUCUCAUAAAUACUUGCCUCUGCAGCAAGAGGAGACUGCCGUUCCUUUAGUCUCUGCUCUUCCUUCACUCGUGCUUUGCUCUCUCCUGCUAGCGCUCAGUGGGUUGGCCAGCUUGUUGGGAGGCCUGACUUUGGCAGCCACCCAAACCCAGUCCUCCCAGCAGCAAAGCAGCCCUGGCUCCCCUGUCCCGCGAGCAGUGUGCGAGGUACUGCGAGGGUGCCAGCAGGGCCCGCACGGAGCGGGGAGAGGCGACCGGGGGUGUUGCGUGCUGCUUGCAGAACUCGUGCACAGAAGCUCUGCAACGGAGUUUUCUUCCCCGUUGGGCUCAGUCCUGCAGAGAAACAUCCCAGGCCUCUGUCGGCACCACGGAGGGUGGCAGAAGCCAUGAGGUCCUCGCUGCUGCUGUUGGCACCAAGAAGGGAAAACGCUGCCAGAAGACUGUCUUGUGUGAACAGCGGCAAUGGCCUAAGGAGAUGAUAGCAAAAGAUGAUGUUGACACAUGCUGAUUUUAAAUGAAUUAAAGA